Molecule: ribosomal RNA, 166 nt
Filed under: Buchnera aphidicola (Aphis gossypii)
Lineage: Bacteria; Pseudomonadati; Pseudomonadota; Gammaproteobacteria; Enterobacterales; Erwiniaceae
Description: partial 16S ribosomal RNA
Rfam family: Bacterial small subunit ribosomal RNA
Source: RNAcentral
UGGGGAAUAUUGCACAAUGGGCGAAAGCCUGAUGCAGCUAUGCCGCGUGUAUGAAGAAGGCCUUAGGGUUGUAAAGUACUUUCAGCGGGGAGGAAAAAAAUAAAACUAAUAAUUUUAUUUCCUGACGUUACCCGAAGAAGAAGCACCGGCUAACUCCGUGCCAGCA